Molecule: long non-coding RNA, 2791 nt
Filed under: Mus musculus (house mouse)
Lineage: Eukaryota; Metazoa; Chordata; Mammalia; Rodentia; Muridae
Description: long non-coding RNA chr3:155094864-155097655
Source: RNAcentral
GUUGAGGUCCAAAGGGAAUAAUACAGGUCAAAAAGGCCUACAUAUUUGAGUACCUACCAAACAUUCUUAUAAGUGGAAAACAAAUUAACCAAAUUUAAAUUUCUCAUAUAGUACUUCACACCCACCUUUCCAUUCCAUGCUGAAAUGUGCUGUCUUGAGCUAGUGCAGGCCUUGGGUGCUGUUACAGCUGCUGUGAGUUCAUGAGUGCAGCUGCCUGCUAUGUCCAGAAAACAGUGUCCACCUCCUCCGGCACUUACCCUCUUUCUCCCUCCCUUUGACAGUGAUCCCUACACUGUGUGUGUGUGUGUGUGUGUGUGUGUGUGUGUGUGUGUGUGUACCUUUCAGAAAUUGAGCACUGCUUAGUUGUACUCUCUACACAUUGACCAGUUAUUAGUCUCUGUGUUAGUUGCCAUAUAUUGCAAAAAGAAGAAAGAAAGAAAGAAAGAAAGAAAGAAACCUUUCUGAUGAGGGUUGAGAGAUGCACUAAACUAUGGGUGUAGCUAUAGAUAAUUGGGAGUUAGUUUAAUAUGCUAUGUCUGUUCGGUAGAUUAAUAGUAGUAGUAGGUUCUCCAGUAGAACUUCAUGACCUACCUGUCUGGCCACACAUUUGUGAUUCUAAUAGCGGUGUUAGAUAUGGGCUCUAUUUAUGGAGGGUGACUUAAAUUCUUAAAUCAGAAAGUUGUUGGUUACCCCUCAUGAAAUUCUUCUCACUAGUAUACCAGUAAGUGCAUUUUACCAGGUCAGUCGUUAAAGCUUAUAUAAGUCCUGUUUCUACCUGAGGGGCUAUGGACCAUUCAUAGCUGCUUGGAAAGGCUGAAUCAAUUUUCUUUAAGGCUGUGGCCUCUCUGGUAGGUCAACCAUGCUUUAGUAGAUGGCCCCACUCAUGAGGAUAUUGGCAGCAUACAAUAGACCCAAUGAACUUUAACAAAAGAAGAGAGAUAAAACUCUUUGAAUAUGUAUAUUGUCUAAAAGUUAAAGUAAAUGAGAUGGAAUAAUCAGAAUGAUGAAUAAUUUCAGAUAAGAGCUUCAUGUACAGUGAUGUGGCUGUAUAAAACUACACAUCUCUCUAUAUAUAUUAUUUAUACACGAUGCAGUGAAGCAUGUCACUUUUAAUUAGAGGGAUGGAAUCUUGAUGCUGUUAAUAAGGAUGGAUGUUGAUUGUAUGAACCAUGUUUGUAAAAAUAUGAUUUUGUGUAUUGGAUUAAAAAGGGGAAUUAAGAAAAUAACCAGUAAUGUGGCUGCCUUGGAGAAAGCAUUGCAAAACAUAGUUGGUGAAACACUGGUAUCCAAAAUAAUACAAGGCACUCAAACUCAACAGUAAGCAAACAGCCAACCAAAAAAUGAUCAAAAAAGCUAAAAAAGGAAGUACCUCAUUGGAGGACAUACUCAGAUGGCAAACCAAAACACAGCAUCAGAUAUAUGUAGGAAUUUCAAAUUCAAAAAUUCAGGUACCCCUAUAUAGCUACCAGACUGGCCAUGAUUUAAAAUACCAAUACACCAAAUACUAGUAAGAAUGUAAAGGAAUAAUUUUUCAGCUUGUUGCUGAUGGAAACACAAAAUAGUGUUUUUAAAGACAAGCAGUCCAUGACAAGAUAAAGCAUAUAUAUGAUCCAAAAGUAGGGUCCUUGAUGUUUAUCCAUAGUGAGUGAAGACCACAUAAUAUGCAAUGACAAGUGUGGGCUUUGUUGUGAGAUAUUCACUUUGGUAGUAACCUGUAGAUCUCUGCUGGGCUCUUCACUAUAACAAAUACAUAUUACUUCAUAAUACUAAUUUAAUAAUGGAGAACUUUGAAAUUGAAUCAUUAUAAGAAGACUAUACCUCUAAAUUCUUCUGUUGACCUAAAACAACAGAAAACACCCUUUGCAGGAGAGAUGUGAUAAAGAUAUGCUAGUUAUGGCUGAGUGUUCCAAAGUGUCUCACAUGCUACAUGUCUACCUUUAGGUCUCUGUAUUAGUUAUCAUCUAAUGCAAGAGGAAGCUUGUCUAAUGAGGGUUGAAUGAAGCACUCUUCUAUGGGUAUAGUAAUACAUCAUUCUGAGUCAUUUUAUUGCUAUAUUUAUUUAGCAGACUAGUAAUAUUAGGUUUUACUCUAGUACCCAUGACCUAUAUAGUCUGAGGUUCUUGGCUUUCUUAACAGGGUCAGGUAUGAGUUUCAAGUUGUGGAGAGGACCUUAAAUCCGAUUUACAGUAAUUGGUUACUACUGUAACAUUUGGGCCAUUAUCACACUUGUUCACUCCUUGCAGGAAGGCCACUAUUGUAGCUCACAGGGUUUAUACCUAUAUGUGAUUUUGAUAAUGUUUCUCCUUUGGAAGCAAGCAUAGUGCCUUCCAGCAGUGUGAUAGCUUGAAUGAUAAUGUCUCCCAUAGGUGCAUAUAUUUGAAUGCUUGGUCUCAAGAUAGAGGGACUGAGAAACUUUUUAGGAAGAUUAGGAGAUGUGUCCUAGAGAAUGAAUAUCACCUGGGACAGGUUUUCGUACACCAGUAUCUUUGUUUGGGUGAUUGUUGUUGUUUUGUUUUUUUUUUUGUUUGUUUGUUUUGAGGGAAGAUAAAGUUGGUGGAGUAUGGGAAGUGUGUUGGCAGAGGGAAGAAAUGAUCAAAUUAUAUUGUAUGAAAAUAUUUAAAAAUAAAGCAAACAAUCAUAGUAAAAUGACACAUUUAUUGUAUGAGUCGUACUCUGACAUUCCUUGUGGAACAGCUACUGGCUCCAAAUGAGCCAUAUUUUCUAUUCUGAAACAUGCCAUACUUGCCUGCUUGUAAGUCCUUAUCAUUGAAAGUAAACAAAACUUUACCCU